Molecule: ribosomal RNA, 610 nt
Filed under: Myroides odoratimimus
Lineage: Bacteria; Pseudomonadati; Bacteroidota; Flavobacteriia; Flavobacteriales; Flavobacteriaceae
Description: bacterial SSU rRNA
Rfam family: Bacterial small subunit ribosomal RNA
Source: RNAcentral
UCCCACCUGGGGAGUACGUUCGCAAGAAUGAAACUCAAAGGAAUUGACGGGGGCCCGCACAAGCGGUGGAGCAUGUGGUUUAAUUCGAUGAUACGCGAGGAACCUUACCAGGGCUUAAAUGUAGAUUGACAGAUUUGGAAACAGAUUUUUCUUCGGACAAUUUACAAGGUGCUGCAUGGUUGUCGUCAGCUCGUGCCGUGAGGUGUCAGGUUAAGUCCUAUAACGAGCGCAACCCCUAUUGUUAGUUACCAGCGCGUAGUGGCGGGGACUCUAGCAAGACUGCCGGUGCAAACCGUGAGGAAGGUGGGGAUGACGUCAAAUCAUCACGGCCCUUACGUCCUGGGCUACACACGUGCUACAAUGGCAAGUACAGAAAGCAGCUACCUGGCAACAGGAUGCGAAUCUCCAAAGCUUGUCUCAGUUCGGAUUGGAGUCUGCAACUCGACUCUAUGAAGCUGGAAUCGCUAGUAAUCGGAUAUCAGCCAUGAUCCGGUGAAUACGUUCCCGGGCCUUGUACACACCGCCCGUCAAGCCAUGGAAGCUGGGGGUACCUGAAGUCGGUGACCGCAAGGAGCUGCCUAGGGUAAAACUAGUAACUAGGGCUAAGUCG